This 515-nucleotide ribosomal RNA is filed under the name uncultured bacterium. RNAcentral's name for it is "partial 16S ribosomal RNA". It matches the Rfam family "Bacterial small subunit ribosomal RNA", at positions 28 to 523 of the family's 1533-position model. The record is from RNAcentral.
GAUGAACGCUGGCGGCGUGCCUAAUACAUGCAAGUCGAGCGAAUGGAUUAAGGGCUUGCUCUUAUGAAGUUAGCGGCGGACGGGUGAGUAACACGUGGGUAACCUGCCCAUAAGACUGGGAUAACUCCGGGAAACCGGGGCUAAUACCGGAUAACAUUUUGAACCGCAUGGUUCGAAAUUGAAAGGCGGCUUCGGCUGUCACUUAUGGAUGGACCCGCGUCGCAUUAGCUAGUUGGUGAGGUAACGGCUCACCAAGGCAACGAUGCGUAGCCGACCUGAGAGGGUGAUCGGCCACACUGGGACUGAGACACGGCCCAGACUCCUACGGGAGGCAGCAGUAGGGAAUCGUCCGCAAUGGACGAAAGUCUGACGGAGCAACGCCGCGUGAGUGAUGAAGGCUUUCGGGUCGUAAAACUCUGUUGUUAGGGAAGAACAAGUGCUAGUUGAAUAAGCUGGCACCUUGACGGUACCUAACCAGAAAGCCACGGCUAACUACGUGCUAGCAGCCGCAGUAA